Molecule: ribosomal RNA, 341 nt
Filed under: Klebsiella pneumoniae subsp. pneumoniae KPNIH7
Lineage: Bacteria; Pseudomonadati; Pseudomonadota; Gammaproteobacteria; Enterobacterales; Enterobacteriaceae
Description: bacterial SSU rRNA
Rfam family: Bacterial small subunit ribosomal RNA
Source: RNAcentral
ACUUAAAUUGAAGAGUUUGAUCAUGGCUCAGAUUGAACGCUGGCGGCAGGCCUAACACAUGCAAGUCGAGCGGUAGCACAGAGAGCUUGCUCUCGGGUGACGAGCGGCGGACGGGUGAGUAAUGUCUGGGAAACUGCCUGAUGGAGGGGGAUAACUACUGGAAACGGUAGCUAAUACCGCAUAACGUCGCAAGACCAAAGUGGGGGACCUUCGGGCCUCAUGCCAUCAGAUGUGCCCAGAUGGGAUUAGCUAGUAGGUGGGUAACGGCUCACCUAGGCGACGAUCCCUAGCUGGUCUGAGAGGAUGACCAGCCACACUGGAACUGAGACACGGUCCAGACU